UAGAUAAUGAGUGAUUGAGGAUAUGAC
This 27-nucleotide non-coding RNA is filed under the name Bombyx mori (domestic silkworm). The record is from RNAcentral. Lineage: Eukaryota; Metazoa; Arthropoda; Insecta; Lepidoptera; Bombycidae.